UACGUAGGGGGCUAGCGUUGUCCGGAAUCAUUGGGCGUAAAGAGCGUGUAGGCGGCCCGGUAAGUCCGCUGUAAAAGUCAAAGUCUCAACCUUUGAAUGUCAGUGGAUACUGCCGGGCUAGAGUCCGGAAGAGGCGAGUGGAACUCCUGGUGUAGCGGUGGAAUGCGCAGAUAUCAGGAAGAACACCAACGGCGAAGGCAGCUCGCUAGGACGGUACUGACGCUGAGACGCGAAAGCGUGGGGAGCGAACAGG
This 253-nucleotide ribosomal RNA is filed under the name uncultured bacterium. RNAcentral's name for it is "partial 16S ribosomal RNA". It matches the Rfam family "Bacterial small subunit ribosomal RNA", at positions 524 to 776 of the family's 1533-position model. The record is from RNAcentral.